CGCGGCUAGCCCGGGUCUAGAGAUCUGCCCGUCGUCCUGAUUAUAUCCUGCCACAGCUUUCCCCAGAUCGAAAAUAUUCUCUGAAGGAACAAGAAGCACCUGCCAAAGCCCCCUCUGAGAAAGCAGGCAUAGAAGACGACUCUGCUCGAAGGACGAUUCUGCACUGGAAAAGAAUAUUUGGCCCUAAAGAAAGUAUAAUAUGAAAAAUGAAAUGAUGCUUGUAUACUGCAUGAGUGACAAGGCACGGAGUACGGUAUGG
RNAcentral lists this long non-coding RNA (259 nucleotides) under Mustela putorius furo (domestic ferret). RNAcentral describes it as "lncRNA (ENSMPUG00000025179.1)". Lineage: Eukaryota; Metazoa; Chordata; Mammalia; Carnivora; Mustelidae. The record is from RNAcentral.